This 452-nucleotide long non-coding RNA is filed under the name Parus major (Great Tit). Its description in RNAcentral is "lncRNA (ENSPMJG00000018640.1)". The record is from RNAcentral. Lineage: Eukaryota; Metazoa; Chordata; Aves; Passeriformes; Paridae.
AUGAGGCAAGUUGGUGCUGGUAUCAGCUCAGAGCACUGGUAUAAAUACCAGGUAUUGGAGUUUUUAGUUCACAGAAGUCUCAUCCUGAGAGUCAAAAACAGCAGCUCCCACAAGACCAGAGGACAACUGCUGGAAGCCUUGUCACCCAGAAGCUUUAGCAAAUCCUCUUCAUACUGCGCAUUGAUGGUUAUGCUGGACAGCAAAACCUUGAUCGACUACUGCUGGAAAAGAAUCAGCUCACUCAAGGAGAGCACGUGUACACGAGUUCUCUGUCUGGUACCACGUCUGACAAACCAACGUCAUUAUUAGAAGACAAAUAAUGCUGACUACACAGCAACCUGGCAAGCACUUCAUAAGAGAUCGAAGUUCUGAACUGUAGGUUUGGGGAAGACUAAGUGAAAAGAGAAAAAAUUACUGAGCUUUAUGAAUAAACAGUAACAUGUUCUCUACCA